Molecule: ribosomal RNA, 253 nt
Filed under: uncultured bacterium
Lineage: Bacteria
Description: partial 16S ribosomal RNA
Rfam family: Bacterial small subunit ribosomal RNA
Source: RNAcentral
UACGGAGGGUGCGAGCGUUGUCCGGAAUCACUGGGCGUAAAGGGCGCGUAGGCGGCGCGGGAAGUCAUCGGUGAAAGUUCAGGGCUCAACUCUGAAUCGGCCGGUGAUACUCUCGUGCUUGAGCACUGUAGAGGCAGGUGGAAUUCCGGGUGUAGCGGUGGAAUGCGCAGAUAUCAGGAGGAACACCAAUUGCGAAGGCAGCUCGCUGGGACGUGACUGACGCUGAGACGCGAAAGCGUGGGGAGCAAACAGG